UAUAGUGCCAAACUAUGGGUAUGUCUACACUGGCAAGCUUCUGCGCAACAAAUUAUACCACUUUUAUUAAAGUGCUGGAAUUAAACCGCUAUUGCGUGUCCACAUUGUG
Molecule: long non-coding RNA, 109 nt
Organism: Gopherus evgoodei (Goodes thornscrub tortoise)
Lineage: Eukaryota; Metazoa; Chordata; Testudines; Testudinidae
Exons: 3
Source: RefSeq, a predicted model, not a curated record